This is an RNA transcript of Arabidopsis thaliana (thale cress), 303 nucleotides long. RefSeq lists it as uncharacterized. Lineage: Eukaryota; Viridiplantae; Streptophyta; Magnoliopsida; Brassicales; Brassicaceae. The record is from RefSeq. The transcript has 2 exons.
GACAUUUGAUCUCUACAAGAAGGUUUUCUAAACGGAACGGUGGUAGCAAUGACCCUAAAUAUGAUUUCAACUAUUUAUCCUUGCCUACGAUUCAAAUUUGUUUGAGUGGUGAUCUUAAUCCUCGCAUGUUGAUUGGUACCUAAAAUAAUGAUGGUGAGGAAAAUGAAGAUGUGAACAUUACGGAGAAGAAGUUCGACUCAAAGAACUUGUUUGGUGUUAAGGUCAAGAUUGAGAAGGAGUAAUUGGUGCUCUGUUUUGGAGUUGAAGUUUGGUAUUUUAGGGUCAAACUUAAUGUGCUCACCG